Molecule: ribosomal RNA, 249 nt
Filed under: uncultured bacterium
Lineage: Bacteria
Description: partial 16S ribosomal RNA
Rfam family: Bacterial small subunit ribosomal RNA
Source: RNAcentral
GUAACGCGUGGGUAACCGUGCCUCAUACAGGGGGAGUAACAGUUAGAAAUAGACUGCUAAUACCGCAUAAGCGCACAGGAUCGCAUGGUCUGGUGUGAAAAACUACCGGUGGUAUGAGAUGGACCCGCGUCUGAUUAGCUAGUUGGAGGGGUAACGGCCCACCAAGGCGACGAUCAGUAGCCGGCCUGAGAGGGUGAACGGCCACAUUGGGACUGAGACACGGCCCAGACUCCUACGGGAGGCAGCAUG